This 23-nucleotide non-coding RNA is filed under the name Cricetulus griseus (Chinese hamster). Lineage: Eukaryota; Metazoa; Chordata; Mammalia; Rodentia; Cricetidae. The record is from RNAcentral.
AUAAGCAGGUUGGAGAAUGUUUG